UUUUUUCUUUUUUUUUUUUGAAAGAUUUUAUUUAUUUAUUCAUGAGAGACACAGAGAGAGAGAGGCAGAGAUAUAGGCAGAGAGAGAAGCAGGCUCCAUGCAGGGAGCCAGAUGUGGGACUUGAUCCCGGGACUCCAGGAUCAGGCGCUGGGCUGAAAGCAGGUGCUAAACCGCUGAGCCACCCAGGAGUCACCGUCCUUUUUUUCUUUUGAAAAAGUAACAUUUUUCUUAAAUUAUUAUAAAUAAUUUCAUAAAAUAUUUUAAAUUAUUUCUGAAUAAUUAUGUUUAAUUCUAGUUCUGGUAUUUCUUUUUAAUUUUUUUUUAUUUAUUUAUGAUAGUCACAGAGAGAGAGAGAGAGAGAGGCAGAGACACAGGCAGAGGGAGAAGCAGGCCCCAUGCACCAGGACCCCGACGUGGGAUUCGAUCCCAGGUCUCCAGGAUCGCGCCCUGGGCCAAAGGCAGGCGCCAAACCGCUGCGCCACCCAGGGAUCCCUCUAGUGCUGGUAUUAUUUGAUGUAGUAAAUAUUUGAAAAAUAUUAGUCUAUUUUAAAAAUAGGAAGAUCAAUUCUUGAAAAAAUAGUUUUGAGAUUAAAAAUGAUUGUGAUUUUUAAAAAAGACACCAGAAUUUGGAAUAUUUUAAUAAUAAAUCAGUUUUAGUUGGGCAGAGGAGAAUUUAAAAGUUAUCUAUGGGAAAGAAAGAAAGCGAGAGAGGGAGAGAGGGAGUGAGAGAGAGAGAAAAAUAAUAGGCUCAAAUGGAGUCACUUGGCUCCACAACAUCAAAUCAAGACUUGAUUGCAGGACUGUAACCUUUAACCACUCAAUUUGGAAUUUCCUGGUCUGUACCAAAGAUAUAAUCUGCAUUUUAUAAGCCUACUCCUCCCCCAGAAUGAAGGUGACUUUGCCUCAAACAAUCCUUUCUAUUCUUUUUCCUGCCCCAUUUCUGCCUAAUAAAGUCUUCCAUUUUGUAAGUCUCUUGGAACUCCUUUCCACCAAUCAGAUGGCAUACUGCUCAAUUCAUGAAUUAUUGAAUAAAGCCAAUUAGAUCUUCAAAUUUACACAGUUGAAUUUUGUUUUUUAACCUUUAAAAACAUGCUAAAGAUAAAUCCAAACACAAUAACCAUAGUGAUUCCCCCCAAAUAAAUAGUAUAUAUGAGAUAUUUUAAAAGCUAAUCUAAAACAGCAAUAAUCGCUUGGCUAUUCAUUGAGAAAUUUCUGCACUUAAACUUGAAACCAAAGGACCCAGCAAAUAUACAGAAAACCACUAGCAUGUGAGAUUCCCACAAAUACAACUCCCAGCACACAGCUAAAUAUUAAACAGCACAUGAGGAAAUUCUCCUCGUGAGAGCAGACACCACAGUUGAUUUUACCUUUUAUCUGAAAAUUAUCUUUUUAAUAUUACCCUAAAAGAUAUUACAAAACCAUUUUCAAAUAGCUAUUGAGGUGAUUUGAUAGCCAAUGAUAAGCAAUCUGGAGAGAUGACAUUUUUUUCCAGAACAAAAUUUCCAAGAAGUGUGACAAGGAUGAGAGACAUGUAAGUCAUAGGUGUUUGUGGUACAGAACGGCACAAAAUGUCAGAAUGAGUAGAGGUCAGUAAAACAGGGAAGAAAACAAAGGGAAAGAAGGGAAGGAAAAGGGAUGCUAUUCAGUAAGAUAUUACAAAGAGAAGAUAAAAGGAAGCUACAGAUGUAGAGACUAUGAAUUAAAAAGAACGUUACCAAAGUGCCUGAUAAGAAAGACAAUAAUAUGUCUGUCAGUGACAACAAAUGCCUCUGAAAGUUCUAAAGACACAGAGGAGAGUGAAGGACGGUGAUAAGGCUCAAUUUCCCUUUAAAGAUGCAAGACAAGGUAACCACAGAGAAAACACCAGGUGAAGAUGAAUAGAAAGAGAAAAAAGUCACAUUUCCUUUAUCAUUAAAAUUCUUUCAGAUUGCACUCAAACUAUCAAAUGUUCCCAAUGCCUCUUCAUCCUUUAUCCAUCACUUUUGCUUUUACUUGCUCCUGACUAAAAGGAGCAUUUUAUUUUCCCUGACAUCACUCCACUUUCUUCAUCCUUCCCACCGCUUUCUCCCUUUUUCCCCCAUUGUUCUCCCUCCAAAAGAGAUUCAAUGCCAGUCACCAUUGCAUUUUCAUGCAGCAAACCUUUAGUUUUAGUAGUAGGAGUCUGAAAAAAAAAAGUAAAAGAAAGUAUGAAUCGAAGUCUAAUACUUUAAUAAGGUAGUUGUUUUCCAUAUUUUAACAUUAAUACAAUCAUGAUUAACACAAAUCAUGAAAACAGUCCCAGGACUUGAAAUAAAACUCAGCUGAUACAUAUGGAUUUGAGUAUUGUUAUAUUACCUAUGGUAAUUUGCCUUAUAUAAUGUUUAAGAGGACACAUUUUAACACUUUCUUGGCUCUUACAUUUAGAAGAUAAUGGUAAAUUUUAGUGAAGUAUAAGUACAGUACAUUAUUACAAUAGUAUUAGUAGUAAUAAUAAAAUUAAAAAACAAGAAAAUAUCCAGAUAUUCUGCUAAGUGUUUGAUUCAUAAAGAAUACAAGCAGAAAAAGUUAAACUCAAGUCCUUAUUAUGGUCAUCAUUCUCUUCUUAAGAAUUAAGUUUUAUUUAAAUCUGGUAAAUUUUCUUUAAAAGAACAUGGUUUUAAAUCAUGCAUUAAAAAAUUAAAAUAUCACUAUUUCCAUUGUGCUAAUAAGAAUUAGCUGGCUUUUAAUUCAUUUAUAACCAUUAUUUCAUAUUUUCAGAUAAACUGAGAAAAAGAAUAUUGGAGGAAAUUUUCCUAGAAUGUUUGUAUAUUUCUAAUAAUUUACUAAUUUUAUCUGUGUAUGUCCUGAACAAUUACUUUUGUUUUCAAUUUUCAUCUCUAUCCUCAGAAUUUAUAUGUUUUUGUUGUUAAAAUUCAAUCCAACCUAAUUAAAAAAUUGUGAAAUGUUAUAUAAAUCAUCUGCGGGGACUCACUUGGACUCCAGAGUUAGUUUAAAAAUUAUUAUAAAGUGAAAACAUUUGACUAGAGGGUACAAAAGGAAAUCUUAUCUGAACUUCUU
RNAcentral lists this long non-coding RNA (3036 nucleotides) under Canis lupus familiaris (dog). RNAcentral's name for it is "lncRNA (ENSCAFG00000051457.1)". The record is from RNAcentral. Lineage: Eukaryota; Metazoa; Chordata; Mammalia; Carnivora; Canidae.